RNAcentral lists this ribosomal RNA (479 nucleotides) under uncultured bacterium. Its description in RNAcentral is "partial 16S ribosomal RNA". It matches the Rfam family "Bacterial small subunit ribosomal RNA", at positions 29 to 523 of the family's 1533-position model. The record is from RNAcentral.
AACAAACGCUGGCGGCGUGCCUAAUACAUGCAAGUCGAACGGGGAAAGCUUUCGGGUGAGUACUAGUGGCGCACGGGUGAGUAACGCGUGGAUAAUCUGCCCUCGAAUGGGGAAUAACUAGUCGAAAGAUUAGCUAAUACCGCAUAAGACCACGACUCCUGAGGUAGUUGGGGUCAAAGGAGCAAUGCGUUUGAGGAUGAGUCCGCGUAAGAUUAGCUAGUUGGUGAGGUAAUGGCCCACCAAGGCGAUGAUCGUUAACUGGUCUGAGAGGAUGAUCAGUCACACUGGAACUGAGACACGGGACAGACUCCUACGGGAGGCAGCAGUAGGGAAUAUUGGACAAUGGGGGCAACCCUGAUCCAGCGACGCCGCGUGAGCGAUGAAGGCCUUCGGGUCGUAAAGCUCUGUUGUAAGGGAAAAAGUUCUGAUUGUACCUUACGAGAAAGGAUCGGCUAACUUCGUGCCAGCCGCCGCAGUAA